GACGAACGCUGGCGGCGUGCUUAACACAUGCAAGUCGAACGGAAAGGCCCUGCUUUUGUGGGGUGCUCGAGUGGCGAACGGGUGAGUAACACGUGAGUAACCUGCCCUUGACUUUGGGAUAACUUCAGGAAACUGGGGCUAAUACCGGAUAGGAGCUCCUGCUGCAUGGUGGGGGUUGGAAAGUUUCGGCGGUUGGGGAUGGACUCGCGGCUUAUCAGCUUGUUGGUGGGGUAGUGGCUUACCAAGGCUUUGACGGGUAGCCGGCCUGAGAGGGUGACCGGCCACAUUGGGACUAAGAUACGGACCAGACUCCUACGGGAGGCAGCAGUGGGGAAUAUUGCCCAAUGGGCGGAAGCCUGAUGCAGCAACGCCGCGUGCGGGAUGACGGCCUUCGGGUUGUAAACCGCUUUCGCCUGUGACGAAGCGUGAGUGACGGUAAUGGGUAAAGAAGCACCGGCUAACUACGUG
Molecule: ribosomal RNA, 468 nt
Filed under: uncultured bacterium
Lineage: Bacteria
Description: partial 16S ribosomal RNA
Rfam family: Bacterial small subunit ribosomal RNA
Source: RNAcentral